This 508-nucleotide non-coding RNA is filed under the name Nippostrongylus brasiliensis. RNAcentral describes it as "Eukaryotic small subunit ribosomal RNA". It matches the Rfam family "Eukaryotic small subunit ribosomal RNA", at positions 57 to 367 of the family's 1831-position model. The record is from Rfam by way of RNAcentral. Lineage: Eukaryota; Metazoa; Nematoda; Chromadorea; Rhabditida; Heligmosomidae.
AUUUAUGUCGAGUUCAUUUUUAAAGAAACUGCGAACGGCUCGUCAGAACAGAUGCCAAUUAUUCGCAAUGUCUCAUGGGAUUAUUGCGGUAGUUCUGGGGCUAAAUUCAUGACGGGUAUCGGCACAAUAUACCUGAGAAUAAACCCGGUCGGCGCGAUUAUUCGCAUUCAUGAACGCGCCGCGGAGUUUAUUUGGGGGAUAUCGCGGGUCUAUUCCACUCCGCUGCGCGUUCAUGAUCGCGAAUAAUCGCGCCGACCGGGAUUUAUUCUCGGGUAUAUUGUGCCGAUACCCGUCAUGAAUUUAGGCCCUGGAGCUAAAUGAUUCAAUAAAACCCUGACUUUUAGAGAGGUACAAUUGCUAGUGUAAACCAAUCAUCUUUGGAUGUUGUUUGUUGUUUCUGAAUAACGCAUCAUAUCGGUGGCUUCUCCUCUGAUAUUCCGAGAACGUGUCUACCCUAUCAACCUUAUAGUAGUUUAUUAGUCUACCAUGAUUAUUACGGGUAACGGAG